This is a long non-coding RNA of Triticum dicoccoides, 3809 nucleotides long. RefSeq lists it as uncharacterized. The record is from RefSeq and is a predicted model, not a curated record. The transcript has 5 exons. NCBI's taxonomy places the organism in Eukaryota, Viridiplantae, Streptophyta, Magnoliopsida, Poales, Poaceae.
CGGACCUGGUCUCUUCUUCUGCUUCUACCGGCGAAACGCGACGGCGGCCGAGAUCCGCGCCGCGCAGCCUCGCCGCCGCGUUCGACGAGGGAGCUAGCGUGAUUCUGGGAUGUUUGGGAUGCGGGCCAGCGGCGCGGCAACUCCGCGGGUGGUGAGGCGGACGCGCACCUCCACAACGACCCGGGCGAUGCCGCCGUCCCGGCGCUCCUCGACUCCCGCUUCGACGGCGACAAGUUCGACGCGCCUAAGCACCUUCUCGCCCUCAUCUCUCCACGCAGGAAAUAGCAAGCUACAUGGGUCUAGAACUUGGGGAGAUUAACAUAAAAGUUUGCUGAUGGAGAAAUAUAUGUUCAAUUGCAAGAAAGUGCAAGGGGCUGCCAUGUGUUCCUUGUGCAGACAUCAUGUCCUCCAGCCUCAUGGAGCUACUCAUCAUGAUUGAUGCGUGUAUAAGAUCAUCUGCUAAGAAGAUUACUGCAGUUAUCCCUUAUUUCGGUUAUGCCAGGGCUGAAAGGAAGUCUUAAGGUCGUGAAUCUAUGGCUGCAAAACUUGUAGCUAAUAUGAUUACGGAAGCUGGUGCAAACCGUGUCCUUGUUUGUGAUCUUCAUUCAAGUCAGGCCACGGGAUAUUUUGGCAUCCCAGUAGAUCAUGUUUAUGGCCAGGCAAUGAAUCUGAUUGGAGAUGUUAAGAGGAAAAGUGUCUGUUAUGAUGGAUGAUAUGAUUGAUACAGCAGCCACCCGCCAUCGAGAGAUUAUCAAGUGGUUUGUUUCAAGAAGCAAAGCAAUUCACGAACACUAUCCCUUCGAAGAAGAAUUGAAGACUUUGCUGAGCGAGGCAAGCAACCUACUUUGAUCUCGUUGAGCCCAUAUUUGCAUUACACACUUAAAAUUAUUUUGCAUGCAUAAAGUAUUGUUUACUAGUAUUGCUAUGCUAAGUAAAUUAGCUAGGGUUUAGCUAUGCUCUAUGUGCUUGAUAUUGACACCCCCUUUGGCAUUCUUAAUACCCCUCCUUUCUAACCGGAGGACUACAUACCCACUGGUCACAAAUAAAUGUGGGUCAUAGGUGCAAGUUUAAUAGUGCAAGUCUACAUACCCCAAUAUGGGACGAGACUAAACUUAGUACCUUGGUAUGUCUAGUGUAGAGCCCUCGCUAGGUGGAUACCCUGUACACCGUGACGAGAGUGGACAAAUAUCAAUCAUUGGAAACUAUGUAUCAUCAGGUGGACUCUAUACUUGCAUCGUUCUUGAGAAAAGUUUUGUUCGAUUGUUCAAAUCGUAUAGACCUAUCACCAAAAGACCUUCAAGAUGCAAAAGUUUGCAUCUUCAAUUGUACAAAGUGCAACUUAGUCAGAGUUUCUCCUCUCUCAAGCUUAAGCCUUUCUUUGAACCGAACCUAUCCCAAGAAACCCAGCCUAGCUAUCAAGGAUGUGAGAUAGCAUGGGCUUAUAUCGAUGUACUUAACUUAUGGAAUUGCAAGAGGGCCCAUUAAGCACCAACAACUUUUGAUUGGAAUGAAGUCCUACAUGAGAUUGUGAUUUUGUGAGUCAAUCAUGUUACAUCCUUGAGCUCCCAAUAUGCACCAAGUUGGGUUGCCAUAUAGAAACGGUUUUCGUCAGUUAGAAGAUGAGGUAGUUUGAUGGUGAUGUAGAAGUGAUAUUGAGGAGAUGGUAGUCAAAGAUGUACGGUGGAUUAUGAGAUUUUAGGGCUAGUAGGUGAGUAUGACGAUUCUUAUAUUGAUGGAUAACAUAUCUUUAAUUAAUCUUAAAACAAUUUAGAUUUGUUUGGUGAUUGUGAUCUUGAAGAAAAUUUCACGGUGGAUUAUGAGAUUUCAUGUGGAUUUAGUUCGGUGAUUGUGAUCUUGAGGAGAUAGUUAAAAAUGUUUGGUGCAUUAUGAGAUUUUAGAGCUAGUAAGUGAGCAUGAUGAUUAUUAUAUUGUUUGAUAAACAUAUAUUUAAUUAAUCUGUGAACAAUUUGGCUUUAGUUUGGUGAUUGUGAUUUUUAACUAAAUUUCAUGGUGAUUACGGGAUUUUAGUCUACUAUGUGAGCAUGGUGAUUAUUAUAUUGUUGAAUAAUGAAUCUUCAAUUAAUAUUACAAUUAAUGUAUUUACUUAGGUGAUCGUGAUUUUGAACCAAAUUUUAGGGAGCAUUAUGAGAUUUUAGGUGGAUUUAGUUACGUGAUUGUGCUCUGUAGGAGAUAGUCAAAGAUGUUUGGUGGAUUAUGAGAUUUUAGGGCUAGUCGGUGAGCAUGAUGAUUAUUCUAUUUGUGGACAAAUAGAUAUUUAUUAAUAUUGGAGCAAUAUAAAUUUAGUUUGGUGUUUGUGAUUCUGAACCAAAUUUCAUGGUGGGUUAUGAUAUCUUAGCCUGGAUUUAGUAAGAUGAUUGUGGUCUUGAGAAGAUAGUCAAAGAUGUUUGAUGGAUUAUGAGAUUUUAAGUCUAGUAUGAGCAUGGCUAUAUUAUAUUGGUUGAUAAACAUAUCUUCCAUCAAUCUUGGAACAAUUUAGAUUUAGUUAGGUGAUUGUCAUCUUGAAGCAAAUUUGACGAUGGAUUAUGAGUUUUUGUGCCUCUACUUAGGUGAUUGUGAUCUUGAGGAGAUAGUCAAAGAUUUAUGGUGAAUUAUGAGAUUUUAGGUCUAGUAUGAGCAUGACUACUAUUAUAUUGGUGAAUAAACAUGUUCCCAAUUAAUCUAGGAUUAAUUUGGAUUUUUAUGUGAUUUUGAUCUUGAUGCAAAUUCGAUGAUGAAUUAUGAAUUUUUAAUGGAUCUAAUUAGGUGCUUGUGAUCUUGAGGAGAUAGUAAAAAAUGUUCGGUGGAUUAUAAGAUUUUAGGUCUAGUACAUGAGAAUGGUGAUUAUUUUAUUGGUGGAUAAACAAAUCUUCAAUUAAUUUUGGAACACUUUAGAUUUAGUUAGGUGAUUGUGAUUUUGAACCAAAUUUCACAAUAGAUUAUGAUAUCUUAGCCUGAAUUUAAUUAGGUGAUUGUCAUCUUUUUUUUUUUGAUUGAACACUGUGACUCUGUGAGGCAAAAGCCCCACAACCAUUUAUUAAAAAAAGAGAUCCAAAGUCAUACAGAAAUAAAGGGCUAACUAGGCUAUUUACAAGGGGUACAAGUCCGUUACCUAAUUACAAUUGAUAUCAUCCAAGAAUCAUGGCAGGGUACUGAUCCAAUGUAAAAGCAGAGGCUUGACAACAGGCUUCAUUCAAUGGGAGUGUAAAGAAAUAUCAUGGAUGAAUUUGGCUCUCCAAGUGCCAAAAGUGGGUCUCUGAUGCUUGAAAAUUUAUCAUUUUUGGUAGUCAAGAUACUCCAUGCAGCCAGGAAAACAACCUCAAAGAAGAAAGGUUCCUGGAACCCUCUUUUAGCAGCCAUUAUUAUACACUCUUUUGUAGAUAGACUGGCAUACCGCUGAAUCUGCAAAUAAUUCCAGACUCUGGUACUGAAAUUACACUUAAAGAACAGGUGAUUGUCAUCUUGAGAAGGUAGUCAAAUAUGUUCAAUGGAUUGUGAGAUUUCAGUUAUAGGAUGAGCAUUUCUACUAUUAUAUGAAUAAAUAAACAUAUCUUCAGUUAAUCUUGGAACAAUUUGGAUUUAUUUAGGUGAUUGUCAUCUUGAAGCAAAUUUGAUGAUGGAUUAUGAGGUUUUGAUGGAUUUAGUUAGGUGAUCUUGAGUAGAUAGACAGAGAUGUUCGUGGUUUUAGGUCUAGUAUGAGCAUGACUACUACUAUAUUGGUUGGUAAACAUAUUUUCAAUUACAAACAACAACAACAACAAAGCCUUUAGUUCCAAGCAAGUUGGGGUAGGCUAGAGGUGAAACCCAUAAGA